This 161-nucleotide small nuclear RNA is filed under the name Dasypus novemcinctus (nine-banded armadillo). Its description in RNAcentral is "U1 spliceosomal RNA (ENSDNOG00000034117.1)". It matches the Rfam family "U1 spliceosomal RNA". Rfam says of the family: U1 is a small nuclear RNA (snRNA) component of the spliceosome (involved in pre-mRNA splicing). Its 5' end forms complementary base pairs with the 5' splice junction, thus defining the 5' donor site of an intron. Lineage: Eukaryota; Metazoa; Chordata; Mammalia; Cingulata; Dasypodidae. The record is from RNAcentral.
AUGCUUACCUGGCAGAGGAGACACUGUGAUCACGAAGGUAGAUUUCCCAGGGCAAGGCUUAUCCAGUGCAUUCCAGGUGUGCUGACCACUGUAAUUUACCCAAAUGUGGGAAACUCGGUGGUGUAAUUUGUGGUAGUGGGGUCAGUUUGUGCUCUCCCCUG